RNA transcript from Syzygium oleosum, 805 nucleotides. RefSeq lists it as uncharacterized. Lineage: Eukaryota; Viridiplantae; Streptophyta; Magnoliopsida; Myrtales; Myrtaceae. The transcript has 5 exons. The record is from RefSeq and is a predicted model, not a curated record.
AAAUUUCAUCCUGCUGUUUCUUCUUUGGGGAUAAAAUUUGUUGAGUAUCUCACAGUGAUUGACUGUCAGCUAGUCAGCUUUUCUCCAGUUGAGUGAUGGACUGUAGCUUGAAGGUUAUAGUGGAAUAGCUUUUGGGAAAGAGGAGCCUUGUGUUGUUUACAUAUUCCCCUUUCAACGCAUUGCAUUGAACAUAUAUAGUUCUUUAAGUUCAUGAAGGACGGUAGAAAUAUACUGAAAUAUUGUUUUGAGUUGAUGUUUCCUUAAAGUGUUCCUCUCACUUGAUUUGUUGAAAUAGCUUGCUAGAGACAUAAGAAACUUGCUUCAUUGCUUGUAAUUGAAUGAACUUGUGACUGCAUUUUCAAUCUGAAAUUUUCUCAACUGGUAAAUGCAGAACUUUGAGUGAGGUCCAAGGCUCUUCAAGCUGUUUACAAUCAGACUCUUGUGACGAUAGUGGUGGAGUAUGCAUCUGUAGUUUACAUGUCAGAUUUGACACAACUUUUUAGUUGGACAUGUCCUAGUUGUGAUGGAAAGACCAAGGGGUUCUAAGUCAUUGAUCUGAUAGUUUGACGUCCAGCACUGCUUAUAGGCAUAUAUUGGGGUGGCCAGGACCUUAAUGCUGCAGUUAUAGCUUUCAAAGGUACUCAAGAACAUAGGUUCAUCAUGGAUUUAUCAUGCUUGUCACAAUACAACAAUGCGACCUGGUACUUUGGAUGCUGUUAGAAGAGCCAAGGAUUUGAUAUCGACGUCAUGGCGACAGGGCAUUCUAUGGGAGGGCCUAUGGCAUCCUUUUGCGGACUUGAUAUUG